UGCAUGCUUUUACAGUAUGAAAAUUGGUGAUUUAUAAUAACUUAGCAAAUCGCAUAGUGAAAACAGGCGAUAAAUCAUUCAAGUUUCUGACCUAUCAGCUUUCGACGGUAUGGUAUUGGCUUACCGUGGCAGUGACGGUUAACGGGGGAUUAGGGUUCGAUUCCGGAGAGGGAGCCUGAGAAACGGCUACCACAUCUAAGGAAGGCAGCAGGCGCGCAAAUUACCCAAUUCUAACAGUUUGAGAGAGGUAGUAACAAGAAAUAACAAUACAAGGCAGUUAAAAUGCUUUGUAAUUGGAAUGAUAGAAAUUUAAACCCUUUUUAAAGUAUCAAUUGGAGGGCAAGUCUGGUGCCAGCAGCCGCGGUAAUUCCAGCUCCAAUAGCGUAUAUUAAAAUUGUUGCAGUUAAAAAGCUCGUAGUUGAAGUUCUGCUAAAAGUAACCGGUCUGCUUUGAAUAAAAGUGGUAUCUUGGUAUGUAUUUAGCAAUGAUGUCCUUUGAAGUGUUUUUUACUUUAUUGUAAUAAAGCAUAUUCAGGACUUUUACUUUGAGAAAAUUAGAGUGUUUCUAGCAGGCCAACGCUUUGAAUACUGCAGC
Molecule: ribosomal RNA, 594 nt
Filed under: Hepatozoon canis
Lineage: Eukaryota; Apicomplexa; Hepatozoidae
Description: SSU rRNA
Rfam family: Eukaryotic small subunit ribosomal RNA
Source: RNAcentral